GUGUUGCUUUGCUAAUUUCUAUAGAGGAGUUGGGCCUUUAAAAUGUAACGUUGAUUGUGGAUGACCUUGGGGAGGCACGGAUGGCGUUGGAUUAUAGCACGCAUUCCGUCCCCCCCCCCCUCAUGUUUAGUUCUGCUGGCCGUUGAGCAUAGAUGGCGCUGCAAUAACGGCUCAAAGGAACAGCCUUUCCAGAUGGGCCUCGUGGUUGGGGAAAGCAUAAAACUGAUGAUCUAAAAAGUUGAAAAUGUUGAAAACUAAUCCCUCACGGAAUAAAUAAUGCUAGCUCCCCUUAUUAAAUCGGCAUGCAAGUUUUGCGUUGAGUUUCCUCGGUAGGCCAGAGAGUAAAACUCAAAAAAGGAACUUGAUGUACUGAGACGGUGAGCUCCAGCCUCUCUUCGCGUUGAUCUUCGGAUGGAUCCGAAAUACAAAAUCUCAAGCCAAUGCUGUCUGUAAAGGGUUUCACAAAUGAUUCUAUGAUCAUGGAACAAGGAUUGAUUCUGUGUUUGCAAAUAUGGGAACACUACCCACUGAUGUGCUGGCCUUCGGGUUCUCUAAUAUGGAUCAACUUUAGAUGAUGAAACAUGUCUUAAUGGGAUUGAGCUGUCUCUGAAGAACCUCAAGAAAAGGC
Pantherophis guttatus is the source of this 628-nucleotide non-coding RNA. The record is from RefSeq and is a predicted model, not a curated record. Lineage: Eukaryota; Metazoa; Chordata; Lepidosauria; Squamata; Colubridae.